Molecule: transfer RNA, 69 nt
Filed under: Corythaixoides concolor (grey go-away-bird)
Lineage: Eukaryota; Metazoa; Chordata; Aves; Musophagiformes; Musophagidae
Description: tRNA-Phe
Source: RNAcentral
GUCUCCGUAGCUUACUAAAAGCAUAGCACUGAAGAUGCUAAGACGGCCUGCACCUAAUGCCCGAAGACA